UGUCUUCUUUCUCUAUCUAGGGUUAGAUCUCCGAUCAUACAACCAGACAGCCACCACCAUGGAGUGCUAGGAUCUAACUAACAAGUCAGCACUCCACCUAUAUCACUCUGCUAACAAUUAGUAUCUUGGCCAGGAGAAGAGAGCGAUGGCGGUGACGAUACUAUAGUGAUUGACGAACUACUGCGCAAUUAGCUAGCGUUUCGUUGGACUUCCAGCAAGCCGAUUACGGCGUUAAUCAGCUAUGGCCGAGAAGGGGGUGGUGAGACGAUUCACCUUGUCGACAUGUAUCAUUUCAGUCUUGAUGGUUGAGUUCAGAAUUGGUUGAUUAGGAGCUAAGAUGUCUUGAAGUUAUAUAUAUCUACUGGAAUAUUGUAUUGGGAUUAGCUUCAGUUUUCAUUUGUUAUGUUUUGAUUGUGCAAGGGAAGCCUAUGAAGAAUAGUGGGAAUCAAGUUUGCCACAUAUGUGGGGAAAAUGCUAAUAGCACAAAGAAAGAAAAAGUGCUUAUGCAUGUGAUGUAUGUGCAUUCCUAGUUCGCAGGUUGUGCUAUGAGUAUGAGCGCAAGGAUGACAAUCAGUCUUGCCAUCAAUGCAAAACUAGAUACAAGUGACAAAAAGGUUUCAUUCACUUAUACCAAUCUCUUUGCUAAUUUACUAUGUAUAUAUUGUCGGGUUAUGUGCAUAUAUUGUUCAUAAAUAAGAUUGAUAAGGAUCUGUUUUUAAUUUGUUGAUGAUAUUCCUGCAUUCUUAUCUUUUAUUUGGUCCAGAUGUAAAUUUUGCUCGGCAACCACACAUUG
This 793-nucleotide long non-coding RNA is filed under the name Helianthus annuus (common sunflower). RNAcentral's name for it is "sRNA HanXRQr2_Chr13g0593191". The record is from RNAcentral. Lineage: Eukaryota; Viridiplantae; Streptophyta; Magnoliopsida; Asterales; Asteraceae.